RNAcentral lists this ribosomal RNA (1353 nucleotides) under Bacillus amyloliquefaciens. RNAcentral's name for it is "bacterial SSU rRNA". It matches the Rfam family "Bacterial small subunit ribosomal RNA", at positions 23 to 1359 of the family's 1533-position model. The record is from RNAcentral. Lineage: Bacteria; Bacillati; Bacillota; Bacilli; Caryophanales; Bacillaceae.
CUCAGGACGAACGCUGGCGGCGUGCCUAAUACAUGCAAGUCGAGCGGACAGAUGGGAGCUUGCUCCCUGAUGUUAGCGGCGGACGGGUGAGUAACACGUGGGUAACCUGCCUGUAAGACUGGGAUAACUCCGGGAAACCGGGGCUAAUACCGGAUGCUUGUUUGAACCGCAUGGUUCAGACAUAAAAGGUGGCUUCGGCUACCACUUACAGAUGGACCCGCGGCGCAUUAGCUAGUUGGUGAGGUAACGGCUCACCAAGGCGACGAUGCGUAGCCGACCUGAGAGGGUGAUCGGCCACACUGGGACUGAGACACGGCCCAGACUCCUACGGGAGGCAGCAGUAGGGAAUCUUCCGCAAUGGACGAAAGUCUGACGGAGCAACGCCGCGUGAGUGAUGAAGGUUUUCGGAUCGUAAAGCUCUGUUGUUAGGGAAGAACAAGUGCCGUUCAAAUAGGGCGGCACCUUGACGGUACCUAACCAGAAAGCCACGGCUAACUACGUGCCAGCAGCCGCGGUAAUACGUAGGUGGCAAGCGUUGUCCGGAAUUAUUGGGCGUAAAGGGCUCGCAGGCGGUUUCUUAAGUCUGAUGUGAAAGCCCCCGGCUCAACCGGGGAGGGUCAUUGGAAACUGGGGAACUUGAGUGCAGAAGAGGAGAGUGGAAUUCCACGUGUAGCGGUGAAAUGCGUAGAGAUGUGGAGGAACACCAGUGGCGAAGGCGACUCUCUGGUCUGUAACUGACGCUGAGGAGCGAAAGCGUGGGGAGCGAACAGGAUUAGAUACCCUGGUAGUCCACGCCGUAAACGAUGAGUGCUAAGUGUUAGGGGGUUUCCGCCCCUUAGUGCUGCAGCUAACGCAUUAAGCACUCCGCCUGGGGAGUACGGUCGCAAGACUGAAACUCAAAGGAAUUGACGGGGGCCCGCACAAGCGGUGGAGCAUGUGGUUUAAUUCGAAGCAACGCGAAGAACCUUACCAGGUCUUGACAUCCUCUGACAAUCCUAGAGAUAGGACGUCCCCUUCGGGGGCAGAGUGACAGGUGGUGCAUGGUUGUCGUCAGCUCGUGUCGUGAGAUGUUGGGUUAAGUCCCGCAACGAGCGCAACCCUUGAUCUUAGUUGCCAGCAUUCAGUUGGGCACUCUAAGGUGACUGCCGGUGACAAACCGGAGGAAGGUGGGGAUGACGUCAAAUCAUCAUGCCCCUUAUGACCUGGGCUACACACGUGCUACAAUGGGCAGAACAAAGGGCAGCGAAACCGCGAGGUUAAGCCAAUCCCACAAAUCUGUUCUCAGUUCGGAUCGCAGUCUGCAACUCGACUGCGUGAAGCUGGAAUCGCUAGUAAUCGCGGAUCAGCAUGCCG